GCUCAGGAUGAACGCUGGCGGCGUGCCUAAUACAUGCAAGUCGAACGAGUUCUCGUUGAUGAUCGGUGCUUGCACCGAGAUUCAACAUGGAACGAGUGGCGGACGGGUGAGUAACACGUGGGUAACCUGCCCUUAAGUGGGGGAUAACAUUUGGAAACAGAUGCUAAUACCGCAUAGAUCCAAGAACCGCAUGGUUCUUGGCUGAAAGAUGGCGUAAGCUAUCGCUUUUGGAUGGACCCGCGGCGUAUUAGCUAGUUGGUGAGGUAACGGCUCACCAAGGCGAUGAUACGUAGCCGAACUGAGAGGUUGAUCGGCCACAUUGGGACUGAGACACGGCCCAAACUCCUACGGGAGGCAGCAGUAGGGAAUCUUCCACAAUGGACGCAAGUCUGAUGGAGCAACGCCGCGUGAGUGAAGAAGGCUUUCGGGUCGUAAAACUCUGUUGUUGGAGAAGAAUGGUCGGCAGAGUAACUGUUGUCGGCGUGACGGUAUCCAACCAGAAAGCCACGGCUAACUACGUGCCAGCAGCCGCGGUAAUACGUAGGUGGCAAGCGUUAUCCGGAUUUAUUGGGCGUAAAGCGAGCGCAGGCGGUUUUUUAAGUCUGAUGUGAAAGCCCUCGGCUUAACCGAGGAAGCGCAUCGGAAACUGGGAAACUUGAGUGCAGAAGAGGACAGUGGAACUCCAUGUGUAGCGGUGAAAUGCGUAGAUAUAUGGAAGAACACCAGUGGCGAAGGCGGCUGUCUGGUCUGUAACUGACGCUGAGGCUCGAAAGCAUGGGUAGCGAACAGGAUUAGAUAC
Molecule: ribosomal RNA, 799 nt
Filed under: Lactobacillus casei group sp.
Lineage: Bacteria; Bacillati; Bacillota; Bacilli; Lactobacillales; Lactobacillaceae
Description: bacterial SSU rRNA
Rfam family: Bacterial small subunit ribosomal RNA
Source: RNAcentral